This 565-nucleotide ribosomal RNA is filed under the name uncultured bacterium. RNAcentral's name for it is "partial 16S ribosomal RNA". It matches the Rfam family "Bacterial small subunit ribosomal RNA", at positions 355 to 914 of the family's 1533-position model. The record is from RNAcentral.
UGGGGAAUUUUGGACAAUGGGGGAAACCCUGAUCCAGCCAUCCCGCGUGUGCGAUGAAGGCCUUCGGGUUGUAAAGCACUUUUGGCAGGAAAGAAACGUCGCGGGUUAAUACCCCGCGAAACUGACGGUACCUGCAGAAUAAGCACCGGCUAACUACGUGCCAGCAGCCGCGGUAAUACGUAGGGUGCAAGCGUUAAUCGGAAUUACUGGGCGUAAAGCGUGCGCAGGCGGUUCGGAAAGAAAGAUGUGAAAUCCCAGAGCUUAACUUUGGAACUGCAUUUUUAACUACCGGGCUAGAGUGUGUCAGAGGGAGGUGGAAUUCCGCGUGUAGCAGUGAAAUGCGUAGAUAUGCGGAGGAACACCGAUGGCGAAGGCAGCCUCCUGGGAUAACACUGACGCUCAUGCACGAAAGCGUGGGGAGCAAACAGGAUUAGAUACCCUGGUAGUCCACGCCCUAAACGAUGUCAACUAGCUGUUGGGGCCUUCGGGCCUUGGUAGCGCAGCUAACGCGUAAGUUGACCGCCUGGGGAGUACGGUCGCAAGAUUAAAACUCAAAUGAAUUGAC